This 302-nucleotide ribosomal RNA is filed under the name uncultured bacterium. Its description in RNAcentral is "partial 16S ribosomal RNA". It matches the Rfam family "Bacterial small subunit ribosomal RNA", at positions 508 to 808 of the family's 1533-position model. The record is from RNAcentral.
GCAGUAGCCGCGGUAAUACGUAUGGGGCGAGCGUUGUCCGGAAUUAUUGGGCGUAAAGGGUACGUAGGCGGUUUUUUAAGUCAGGUGUGAAAGCGUGAGGCUUAACCUCAUUAAGCACUUGAAACUGGAAGACUUGAGUGAAGGAGAGGAAAGUGGAAUUCCUAGUGUAGCGGUGAAAUGCGUAGAUAUUAGGAGGAAUACCGGUGGCGAAGGCGACUUUCUGGACCUUUACUGACGCUCAGGUACGAAAGCGUGGGGAGCAAACAGGAUUAGAUACCCCAGUAGUCCCUGUCUCUUAUACA